CUCAUUAUCUGGUGUUGCUGUGGCUGUGUCAUAGGCCAGCAACUGCCCCUCCAAUUCAACCCCUAGCCUGGAACUUCCAUAUACCACAGGUGUGGCCCUAAAAAGCAAAAAAAAAAAAAAAAAAAGUUUGAAGAAAAAUAAGAUAAUGUCUAUUGCUUAUCACAUUGUCUGGCACAUAUCAAACAGCACAGAUCCUUUCUACAGAAGACACAACACAGCACGGGAUUCAUCAUAGACUUUGGCACUUUUUAAUUUAUGUGGAUUGAUUUUGGUAUCUGCUUUUGUAUUACAUCAUUUUUUCCCCAAUGUGAAGCAAAUCAUAGUGUUUCAACUUACCAAUGCUCUGUUUAGGAAACAAGUGGUACUAUGUUGGAACUAAACAGAACAGCAUAUAGUCUUGCUGUGAUGUUCAUGGUUAAAAGAGAGAAGCUAAAGCCUAUGUUUGCCAAAGACCAGAUGGAAUGUUUCUACUUGUUUCUGUUCAUUUCACAGCCCAGACGAGAUUGAAACAGAAUCAUCAGGGUCUCCAAACGAAGAGAACUCUAUGUUGACUUCUGAUUUAUUGAUUCCUUCCAUUAUUCCAGCUUUUGGGCUUAAAUGUUAGAGAAUGGAAUGGUUUUGUUGAUGUUUCCUGUAAUGGUCCCUUGCCCUCAUAGAUGCAUACUAUUUAAACAGGAAACCUGCCCUUUUAGCACUGAAAUAAAUACAACUGGAGAAGAACCACCCACAAGCAGCUUUCUAAUGAAGCCCCUCAAACCAUGACUUUCCUGCUACAUGGGCCAAGGAAGACAAACAUAGCUGUGAGAAGAAAAAGCUGACUCUCCUUUCUAUUGGAACUGCGCAUAUUUUUAAUUCAAAGAAUUUUGGUAAAUUCUGUUGCUCCAAGGUCACCUCCAGGGAAUUUGGAGCUUUUCUUUCCGGUCAACCUAAAUAUUUCCCAUUUUCUUCCUUGUAAGAAAUUUUCAUCUCUAAUUCUCAUGUGUUGUCUAUUAAGAAAACACACACAUGGAAUGCAGACUCCCUAUAUUUCAAACAUUUCUAGCUUUCAAGGAUGGGGGAAGAAUUAAACAAGGGAGAAGGCUGGCUUCCAGCAAUAACACAGCUUUAAUAAAUACAUGAAAUAUUUAUAGAACACAUAAAGAACAAAGGAAAUAGAACACUUCCUCUGUGUAUGAUUUCCCUCCAUGUUUCCAGUCAGCCAGGUCUCUUGCCACAGUUUUUUUUCUGUGAGAUGUCUACUAAGCAACAAUGAGUGAGAUGUACCUGGUUAAUGUACUUUCAACAUAUGGUAUCUCCUAAUUUUCAAAAAGAAUCUCAGAUGUUAUGAUGACUGCAUUAACAUUUUCAUUCUGAAAUGAAUGAACAUUUUUUUUUUUUGGAGGACUUACACUCAGAAAUCUAAGGCCUUUAGUAAGUUGUAACUCUUUGGAGACACCAUAUAAAUUUUAACCCAGAACAAUAAUAAACCUUGUUGAAAUAUUGCAAGUAUUUUUAGUUAUUAGAAUUAGGUAGGUAUCUACAUAGUUUAAGAAAUUGGAGGACAAUUAUUUUUCUCAAAGAGAAAGUGGCAACAUCUCCAAAGCUCCCACCUAGGGAUGUUCUUAUUUCACAAGAAAUUAGUUUAAAAAGGCUUUGCAAAGGGAAUUAUUUAUUUAAUUAGCAACAAAAAAGUUAACCGAUUUUUGUGAUGAGAAAGACAAAAUUAAAGCACAACAGAGAUCUACAGAUACAUACUCCCCACUGCAAUAGCAGAAUGAGUGGGAAUCUCCCUUAUAUUUCAUUCACCAUAAACCUUUCCCAAAGUUGUAUCUCUUGUCCUACCUUCCCAACACUGAGGUCCUACAUUUAUGCACUGUCUUUAAAAUAUUUAUAUUUAAUAAUUAAUUGUUAUAAUGCAGGCUCACUUUUAUUGUACCAGGAGCUGUGCUAAGUGCUUUGUACACAUUUUGUAUUCAGAAUAGCCCUAUUAUACUGGUGCAAAUAUUAUUCUUCAUAAUAAUAUAAGAAGACUGAUAUUUGAGCAUUUUAAAUUAUUUGACCAACAUCACAAAGGGAAGAAGAAAGGCUUGCAUGCACCUAGAUACUUCCUCCAUAUGCAUGCCUACCCAGCUGGGACCAUGGUGAAAAUGCAGAUGGCAUUUCUGUGUAUUAAUUUUGUAUCCUGCGACUUUGCCAANCAGAAUGAGUCUUUAGGGUUCUCUAGGUAUAGUAUCAUGUCGUCUGCAAAUAGUGGUAGUUUCACUUCUUCCUUUCCAAUUUGGAUUCCUUUUAUCUCUUUUACUUCUCUGAUUUCUGUUGCUAGGAAUUCCAAAAAAUAUCUUUCUUUUUGGCUUGAAAAUCAAAACUGAGAUUUCUGUCUCCAGAUGACAACAAUUAAAAAACAUUAACUAUACCAGCAAAAGUAGUAGCCAGGAUUGUGGCUGAUGUUACGGAAAUUGACAGAAUGAACCACCAAACAAAUGAGGAUAGGGGUGGCAUCCCCAGGGCCGUGUGGACAUAACUUGAAAGAACUAUGGGAAAACCCAGAGAAUUCAUUUCUCCAAAGAUUCCAGUGACCCUGUCAUUUCAAGGGACCACAGACCAUUGCUUAGAACUGUAAGAAACUUACUUGUCUUUAGUUGGCAGGUUUCCUUAAGAGUGAAAACAUUGGGAGGUAUGGUGUGUGUGUGUCUGUGUGUGUGUUCUGAGAAUAAGAGAGGUAAACACAUUAUUAAAUAAGAAAAGUGGAAAUUAUGUCCUAACAGAAGCCUUUUGCUUCAUACAAUGUGAACUGAUAGGGCAAAAAUAAAGCUUUGUAGUUAAAACAGGCAGUGCUCAGUUUUGGAUGAGGCUAGAGGAAACUGAAGUCAGCUCUGCACAGAAGGUAACAGACAUGUGUGAAUCAUGAAGAGUAAAUAUAAGAGAGAAGGAAAACAAAACAAAACAAAACAAACAAAACACCAAAAACCAAAAAACCACAGUGCCGUUAGCUUCAUUGUCUGUAAUUUUCUCCUAGCUAGUCUUUGCUCGUGUCUGUCAGCUCUGAAGAGGUCUAUUUUGAAAUGUAGUCUGUAAAGCCUGUUAAGUAGGAUUAGUUCAGAGAAGUUCCCAGGAAUGACAAAAGACUGAAAACAUGAGAGUUAUGGGGCCCCACCCCAGGAUUGCUGGGUUGUAGAAACAUCUAGGAAACCAAAGCAUGCCAGAUGUAGACUCUACCUAUUGAAUGACUUCUUGGUUUUGGUCAGUCCAUGUUGUACAUAAUACUUUAUAGAGAACAUUAAAUUACAUUAAGCCAAGACUUCCCCAGAGAGGAGAAAAAAGGGGAAAUAAAACAAAAAGGGAAAAGAAUAAUGUAAUGUAAUGUCAGGUAAAGGUUGAUGCCACAAUUACUUACUCAGAGGCUACUAGGAAACCCUUUAAGGGUUUUUUUUGGUUGUUGUUGUUGGCUUUGAGCAGUUUGAGAAAUAAUUGUGAUUGAUUGUUAUUUUAUGAGAAAAACUAUUACAUCCAUAUAAAUAACAAUCUAUUCAAUUUUAUUCCAAUAGAUCAAAAUAAAACCCAAUUAAAAUCACCAACAGGUAGGUGGAAAACUGACAUAGACAGUAGUUCUAUGAUCCCAAGAUUUCUUUAGUUGAAUUGGCAAAGUAUCAGGUGGGUAUUUAAAAGGCACAUGUUGACUAAAUUAGAACCACAACAUUUUACUAGGUGGCCAAAUAAACUACUUUGCAAUAUUUGUUGAAUGAAUUAAAUUAGUUCUGCGUCCUUUAACUCAAAAUUUUGUAUCUUUUAACCUGAGUUUUCUUGGGUCUCAUUAGAAAAUUCACCAUUCCUUUUUCUAUAUAACAUAUUUUUGCUAAGGAACCAAAACAUAUUUAAACUACAUUCAACUGCAUAAACAAAACUGAGAUUGAAAUACAUUUUUAGCAUUAUUUCUGCAAGUAUAAAUACGUAACACACUUUUAGAAGUCUUCAGUAGCAACUAUUUUUAAGGGGUAUGAUAAGAUUUGAUUUUGAGUAAAUUAGAUCUUGUAACUUCAAAACUGAAAUAGGUUUGGCAUUUUCCCAUCACUGGCAACUGCCCAUGUUAUUAAAUAAGAAACCUGAGAACUAUAUUUUCCAUGAAAUUUAUGAAAUGCCCACAAGUGGCAUUAAAUGAUUCUUGGCAUGUCUAUGCAGUCUUGAGUUCUUUUGCCUGAAAUGCUAUCCACAAACAAAUGAUGCCAAUUUGCCUAUAUGCACUUCAACCCCCAGUCUCACUUUUUUCCCUUCAAGAACAUGUACUUGAGAUCAGUCCCAAGGAGGUUUCCAUCAAGGUCAUAUUUCAAAAAAUAUAUAUGCCAUACACUACAUAUGUGUGUGUUUUAAUAUAAUCCAAAUUCUCCCUUCCAUGGAGUAGUACUAGCAAAUUAUAUUAUUCUAGGUCACUGAAUAUUUUCCAUAACUGAUAAGGCUCUGCUGUUCCUAUCUGCUUCUAUGGAAAACAUAAAUGAUUUUAAAUAACAUUUAUUUUAAAACAUUCACUUUGUCUAUUAUGUGCCUAAGAAACAAGAUGCAAUCCCUACUCUCAAGUUCAUACUCUUGUUGGGAGACAGUAAAUAGGUCAUUAAAAUGCAGUAGAACAAGAAUGGUGACAGAAGUAUGAAUGAAUCAAUAUAAGAGUUCAGAAGAGAAGUGUUAGAGAAUAAAAGAUGCUUAAUGUUCACUGAAAUAUCUGAAACCACAGUAAGAAUAUUGAAAAUUUAAAUUAUGAUUUGUCAAUAUAUGUUAGAACAAGGUUAAAUUCACCAAUUAACUAGAUGACUUUGAGGAAUUUUCUCAUCUUUGACACCUUUAUUUUUAAAAUAGCACCAGCAGUAUCUACUACAAAGGAUUUUGCUAAAUAUUAAGUGCUAGGCCUUUUGCUUAUAAGAAAUUCUAUAUUUCUUCUCAAACUUGUAUUCAUAUAGAAGUAAUAGAAAUUAACCUUACAUAUAUGCUUAAAUAUCAGGGAAACAAUAUAAAUAUUAUGAGACCCAAGAUAAACCAUUUUAUUUAUCUUUUAGUGAUUUUAUAUUGAAUGAAUCUGUCUUUAAAAAGUAAAUGAGGAGUUCCUGUCAUGGCUUGGCGGUCAACGAACCUGACCGACUAGCAACCAUGAGGUCCUGUGUUCAAUCCCUGGCCUUGCUCAGUGGGUUAAGGAUCUGGCAUUGUCAUGAGCUGUGGUGUAGGUAGCAGAUCNAGGCUUAGAUACAGCAUUGCUGUGGCUGAGGUGUAGACUGGCAGCUGUAGCUCCAGUUGGACCCCUAGCCUGGGAACCUCCAUAUGCCGCAGGUGCGGCCCUAAAAAGAGCCCCCCCAAAAUUAAAUGAGUCACAGAAAAAUAUCAGGGAUAACACUGUAUCUCAAGUCGAUGUUUACAUGAAUGUUAUUUUUUUAAAGGUAUUUCAACUUACUUUAUUAGGAUUCAAGGAAGUCAACAUGCUAACAGACUAGGAAACAUAUUUUUGCAAAACACGGAGAUCAUCUCCUAAAUACUACUGAAUAUUAUAAAUAAGUAUUUUCUUAUUUCUUGAAUGUUAUUAUUCUUAAACUAUUCAUAACAGCAGUUUUGCAAAUAUACUCUAGGUUCAUUAAUUUCUCAAAAAAUUAUGGAAUCAAUAGUUUAGGAUUCAAAGAGACCUUCUGUUUAAGAAGACGGAUCACUUUGUUAUUUAAUGUAAGAUUUGCUAAGAAAAAAAAUUUGAAGCUCACACAUAUGAAGAUUUUGUAAGCAAAUAUUGCCUAGGAUAUCUUAGGUACAGAAAAAGGUGUAAAGUAUGGGUAGACAUGGUCCCUGCCCUCCUGGAAUUGGUGUGUAUAUGGCGGAGUGCCAAAGGCAGAACAUAGGUAAUAAAGAGGUAGUGAGAUCAUUUGACAUGGAUUAAAUACAGAACUAAACAGAUACAUGACUGUUGAUUUUCUCAGGGAAAUCUUGUUCAUUUCUGCUUCUAUACUUGCCCCUCUCUAAUCCAUUUUCUACACGUUGGUCACAAGGUCCUUUAAAAAUAUUUAUUGUGUCAUGCAAACUUCUUGCGAAAAAUCCUAUGAUCAAAUGGAUUCAAUGAAUCCUUUCACUGAACUUAGGAAAAAGACUAAAAUCAGUGCUUUGUUCUAUAAGCCGUUUCAUAAUGUGGGCUCUGCUUAUUUCUCCAGUCUUGUUUAUAAAAACUUUUUUCCCUCUUAUUAGGCUUGAGCUCACAUAACUGUCCAUUCUUCAUAGGUCAAGACUGAUUCUGCCUCAGGUGUUUACAUUAUUAUUCCUCCUGCUUUUUUAAUCUGAAAUUUAAACAUUUUCUCAUGUAAUUAAAUACUUUCAACAAUAUGACUUUUAAGAUAUAUGCGGUAAUUUAUCACAUUUUAAAGUAAUCAUUGAGGGGGCACCUUUAGUAUCUGUCACCUAGAGAAGAGUCUCCUUAUGAUAAAUUUCCCUUUAUCAAUUUUCCAUUGCUUUCAACUCAUAAUUUGCAUGGAGUUGUUUCUACUCUAAGGGCCUAAGGGCAGCGCCUACUGGUUUUAAACUAAGCAAGAUAUCUCUGUCACCUGGCCACAAAAUUGUUCAAGGAGGACAUCUGAAUGUUCUGAGUCAAUAUAUGGUAGGCACAGAAAUACUGUUCUGGGACCACCUUACAAAAGUAAAGAA
RNAcentral lists this long non-coding RNA (6636 nucleotides) under Sus scrofa (pig). Its description in RNAcentral is "lncRNA (ENSSSCG00065015119.1)". The record is from RNAcentral. Lineage: Eukaryota; Metazoa; Chordata; Mammalia; Artiodactyla; Suidae.